RNAcentral lists this ribosomal RNA (509 nucleotides) under uncultured bacterium. RNAcentral's name for it is "partial 16S ribosomal RNA". It matches the Rfam family "Bacterial small subunit ribosomal RNA", at positions 29 to 507 of the family's 1533-position model. The record is from RNAcentral.
ACGAACGCUGGCGGCGUGCUUAACACAUGCAAGUCGAACGAAGAGCGAUGGAAGCUUGCUUCUAUCAAUCUUAGUGGCGAACGGGUGAGUAACGCGUAAUCAACCUGCCCUUCAGAGGGGGACAACAGUUGGAAACGACUGCUAAUACCGCAUACGAUCUGACCUCGGCAUCGAGGAUAGAUGAAAGGUGGCCUCUACAUGUAAGCUAUCACUGAAGGAGGGGAUUGCGUCUGAUUAGCUAGUUGGAGGGGUAACGGCCCACCAAGGCGAUGAUCAGUAGCCGGUCUGAGAGGAUGAACGGCCACAUUGGGACUGAGACACGGCCCAGACGCCUACGGGAGGCAGCAGUGGGGAAUCUUCCGCAAUGGACGAAAGUCUGACGGAGCAACGCCGCGUGAGUGAUGACGGCCUUCGGGUUGUAAAGCUCUGUUAAUCGGGACGAAAGGCCUUUUUGCGAAUAGUGAGAAGGAUUGACGGUACCGGAAUAGAAAGCCACGGCUAACUACGUG